RNAcentral lists this ribosomal RNA (460 nucleotides) under uncultured bacterium. RNAcentral describes it as "partial 16S ribosomal RNA". It matches the Rfam family "Bacterial small subunit ribosomal RNA", at positions 338 to 795 of the family's 1533-position model. The record is from RNAcentral.
CCUACGUGUGUCAGCAGUGAGGAAUAUUUGUCAAUGGACGAGAGUCUGAACCAGCCAAGUAGCGUGAAGGAUGACUGCCCUAUGGGUUGUACACUUCUUUUAUAAAGGAAUAAAACGAGGCCAGUGUGCCUUUUUGCAUUUACUUUAUUACUAAGGAUCGGCUAACUCAGUGCCAGCAGCCGCGGUAAUACGGAGAAUCCGAGCGUUAUCCGGAUUUAUUUGGUUUAAAGGGAGCGUAGAUGGGUUGUUAAGUCAGUUGUGAAAGUUUGCGGCUCAACCGUAAAAUUGCAAUUGAUAAUGGCAGUCUUGAGUACAGUUGAGGUAGGCGGAAUUCGUGGGGUAGCGGUGAAAUGCUUAGAGAUCACGAAGAACCCCGAUUGCGAAGGCAGCUUACUAAACUGUGACUGACAUUGAGGCUCGAAAGUGUGGGUAUCAAACAGGAUUAGAUACCCUUGUAGUC